This 28-nucleotide non-coding RNA is filed under the name Bombyx mori (domestic silkworm). The record is from RNAcentral. Lineage: Eukaryota; Metazoa; Arthropoda; Insecta; Lepidoptera; Bombycidae.
UAUUGAACUAGACCUGCUUGGUAGUGGC